CUCAAUCCCAGGUCAUUACCGAGUUUACACUCCCAAACCCCUGUGAACAUACCACUUGUUGCCUCGGCGGAUCAGCCCGCUCCCGGUAAAACGGGACGGCCCGCCAGAGGACCCCUAAACUCUGUUUCUAUAUGUAACUUCUGAGUAAAACCAUAAAUAAAUCAAAACUUUCAACAACGGAUCUCUUGGUUCUGGCAUCGAUGAAGAACGCAGCAAAAUGCGAUAAGUAAUGUGAAUUGCAGAAUUCAGUGAAUCAUCGAAUCUUUGAACGCACAUUGCGCCCGCCAGUAUUCUGGCGGGCAUGCCUGUUCGAGCGUCAUUUCAACCCUCAAGCACAGCUUGGUGUUGGGACUCGCGUUAAUUCGCGUUCCUCAAAUUGAUUGGCGGUCACGUCGAGCUUCCAUAGCGUAGUAGUAAAACCCUCGUUACUGGUAAUCGUCGCGGCCACGCCGUUAAACCCCAACUUCUGAAUGUUGACCUCGGAUCAGGUAGGAAUACCCGCUGAACUUAAGCAUAUCAAUUAAAGCGGAGGA
This 533-nucleotide ribosomal RNA is filed under the name Fusarium sp. UAS011. RNAcentral describes it as "eukaryotic LSU rRNA". The stretch from base 166 to 319 matches the Rfam family "5.8S ribosomal RNA". Lineage: Eukaryota; Fungi; Ascomycota; Sordariomycetes; Hypocreales; Nectriaceae. The record is from RNAcentral.